This 382-nucleotide ribosomal RNA is filed under the name uncultured bacterium. RNAcentral describes it as "bacterial SSU rRNA". It matches the Rfam family "Bacterial small subunit ribosomal RNA", at positions 30 to 417 of the family's 1533-position model. The record is from RNAcentral.
AUUGAACGCUGGCGGCAUGCUUUACACAUGCAAGUCGAACGGCAGCGCGGGGCAACCUGGCGGCGAGUGGCGAACGGGUGAGUAAUAUAUCGGAACGUACCCAGGAGUGGGGGAUAACGUAGCGAAAGUUACGCUAAUACCGCAUACGAUCUAUGGAUGAAAGCAGGGGAUCUUCGGACCUUGUGCUCGUGGAGCGGCCGAUAUCUGAUUAGCUAGUUGGGAGGUAAAGGCUCACCAAGGCGACGAUCAGUAGCUGGUCUGAGAGGACGACCAGCCACACUGGGACUGAGACACGGCCCAGACUCCUACGGGAGGCAGCAGUGGGAAUUUUGACAAUGGGCGCAAGCCUGAUCCAGCAAUGCCGCGUGAGUGAAGAAGGCCU